AGUGAACGCUGGCGGUAGGCCUAACACAUGCAAGUCGAACGGCAGCACAGUAAGAGCUUGCUCUUACGGGUGGCGAGUGGCGGACGGGUGAGGAAUACAUCGGAAUCUACUUUUUCGUGGGGGAUAACGUAGGGAAACUUACGCUAAUACCGCAUACGACCUACGGGUGAAAGCAGGGGAUCUUCGGACCUUGCGCGAUUGAAUGAGCCGAUGUCGGAUUAGCUAGUUGGCGGGGUAAAGGCCCACCAAGGCGACGAUCCGUAGCCGGUCUGAGAGGAUGAUCAGCCACACUGGAACUGAGACACGGUCCAGACUCCUACGGGAGGCAGCAGUGGGGAAUAUUGGACAAUGGGCGCAAUCCUGAUCCAGCCAUACCGCGUGGGUGAAGAAGGCCUUCGGGUUGUAAAGCCCUUUUGUUGGGAAAGAAAAGCAGCAGGUUAAUACCCCGCUGUUCUGACGGUACCCAAAGAAUAAGCACCGGCUAACUUCGUG
This 492-nucleotide ribosomal RNA is filed under the name uncultured bacterium. Its description in RNAcentral is "partial 16S ribosomal RNA". It matches the Rfam family "Bacterial small subunit ribosomal RNA", at positions 29 to 507 of the family's 1533-position model. The record is from RNAcentral.